AUUAAACGCUGGCGGCAUGCCUUACACAUGCAAGUCGAACGGCAGCACGGGGGCAACCCUGGUGGCGAGUGGCGAACGGGUGAGUAAAGCAUCGGAACGUGCCCUGGAGUGGGGGAUAACGUAGCGAAAGUUACGCUAAUACCGCAUAUUCUGUGAGCAGGAAAGCAGGGGAUCGCAAGACCUUGCGCUCUGGGAGCGGCCGAUGUCGGAUUAGCUAGUUGGUGGGGUAAAGGCCUACCAAGGCGACGAUCCGUAGCGGGUCUGAGAGGAUGAUCCGCCACACUGGGACUGAGACACGGCCCAGACUCCUACGGGAGGCAGCAGUGGGGAAUUUUGGGACAAUGGGCGAAAGCCUGAUCCAGCCAUGCCGCGUGAGUGAAGAAGG
This 385-nucleotide ribosomal RNA is filed under the name uncultured bacterium. RNAcentral's name for it is "bacterial SSU rRNA". It matches the Rfam family "Bacterial small subunit ribosomal RNA", at positions 29 to 414 of the family's 1533-position model. The record is from RNAcentral.